This 355-nucleotide unclassified non-coding RNA is filed under the name soil metagenome. Its description in RNAcentral is "partial contains 5.8S ribosomal RNA, internal transcribed spacer 2, and large subunit ribosomal RNA". The stretch from base 1 to 120 matches the Rfam family "5.8S ribosomal RNA", at positions 35 to 154 of the family's 154-position model. The record is from RNAcentral.
GAUGAAGAACGUAGCGAAAUGCGAUAAGUAGUGUGAAUUGCAGAAUUCAGUGAAUCAUCGAAUCUUUGAACGCACAUUGCGCCUUCUAGUAUUCUGGGAGGCAUGCCUGUUUGAGCGUCAUUAAACCUCUCUCAAGUAUGAUUACUUGGAUGUGAAGGAAGAGUACCUUAAACUUAAGUAGUGUUCUCCUUUGAAAUUGAUUAGCAGAUGGUAAUGUUAUUAAAUCCCUGAUGUUGUAAGAAAUAACAGUGGUUUUGUAGACUAUUAUCUAGCUUUAAAUUAUAAUUUUUAUUAUGGUUGACCUCAAAUCAGGUAAGGAUACCCGCUGAACUUAAGCAUAUCAAUAAGCGGAGGA